GUAGGCGAGGAGUGCCACAGUUCGCAGGUAAGUGCGACGUGUGCAGGUAAUUCGGUGCAAAUCCGAAACGGUUGCGCCACUGUGAUCGGCCGCCAGCCGAAAGUCAGAAAACUCACCGUCGUAGACGUUUCUAC
This 134-nucleotide non-coding RNA is filed under the name Rhodococcus sp. (in: high G+C Gram-positive bacteria). Lineage: Bacteria; Bacillati; Actinomycetota; Actinomycetes; Mycobacteriales; Nocardiaceae. The record is from RNAcentral.